This is a long non-coding RNA of Sardina pilchardus (European sardine), 261 nucleotides long. RefSeq lists it as uncharacterized. The record is from RefSeq and is a predicted model, not a curated record. The transcript is spliced from 3 exons. Lineage: Eukaryota; Metazoa; Chordata; Actinopteri; Clupeiformes; Clupeidae.
CAAAAUGUGAAGAGGACUCUCACAAAAUAUGUCAACGAGCACCAGGACAACUGGGACGUCCACCUGCAGGCCAUAGUUUAUGGCAUCAACACUGCAAAGCAGGCACCCCCGUCUACCUGAGGCAUUGAAUGCCUGCGAAACAGAUGCCACCUCUCUAGAGUUGGCAGACCCAGACGAGGAGAUGGAGCUGAAGGUGGCUGGGGUCAAGGCCCUCAAUGAACAGGUAAGGAAGAAUAUUGAACGGGCUCAAGCCAAACAAAA